Molecule: unclassified non-coding RNA, 342 nt
Filed under: soil metagenome
Description: partial contains 5.8S ribosomal RNA, internal transcribed spacer 2, and large subunit ribosomal RNA
Rfam family: 5.8S ribosomal RNA (bases 1-121)
Source: RNAcentral
GAUGAAGAACGCGGCGAAAUGCGAUAAGUAGUGUGAAUUGCAGAAUUCAGCGAAUCAUCGAAUCUUUGAACGCACAUUGCGCCCUUCGGUUAUUCCUUAGGGCAUGCCUGUUCGAGCGUCAUUUCAACCUUCAAGCCUGGCUUGGUGUUGGGCGCUGUCCCGCCUCCGCGCGCGGACUCGCCCCAAAUGAAUUGGCAGUCGCACCCUCCGAGCCGCGAGCGCAGCACAAGUCGCGCGGGCGGAACUCUGGGGGGACGGACGCUCCACAAGACCCUUUCUCAGUCUUGACCUCGGAUCAGGUAGGGAUACCCGCUGAACUUAAGCAUAUCAAUAAGCGGAGGA